GGGGAAUAUUGGACAAUGGGGGCAAGCCUGAUCCAGCAAUGCCGCGUGUGUGAAGAAGGCCUUCGGGUUGUAAAGCACUUUCAAGUAGGGAGGAAAAGCU
Molecule: ribosomal RNA, 100 nt
Filed under: uncultured bacterium
Lineage: Bacteria
Description: partial 16S ribosomal RNA
Rfam family: Bacterial small subunit ribosomal RNA
Source: RNAcentral